Molecule: small nuclear RNA, 164 nt
Organism: Dromiciops gliroides (monito del monte)
Lineage: Eukaryota; Metazoa; Chordata; Mammalia; Microbiotheria; Microbiotheriidae
Product: U1 spliceosomal RNA
Exons: 1
Source: RefSeq, a predicted model, not a curated record
AUACUUACCUGGAAGGGGUGAUUCCAUAAUAACAUAGGUGGUUUCCCCAGGAUGAGGCUUAUCCAUCAUGCUCUGGAUGGGCAGACCCCUGCAAUUUCCCCAAAUGUGGGAAACUCGACUCCAUAAUUUGUGAUAGUGGGGGAAAGUAUUUGCACUCUCCCCUG